GCAGACAGGGUGCCCACACAGGGCGUGAGGCCUGGCUUCCCAGUGAGGGCGGCAGCCCAGUUACUGGGGACGUCAGCCCCGGGCAGGUCCUGUUGGCUGGCUCCUUGGGCUACCUGGUGGGCUUUAAAUUCCGGGAAAGUCACAGCUCUGACAGCGGCUCUGCUAACGCAUUCCACUGUCUCAUUUCACGAAAUGAAUUUAAAACUCUGCCCCCACGAUCUCACGCGAGCCCCCGUGAGUCUCUCACGCCCUCUGCUGUGUUCUCGCCUGGCUCAAGCGAGUGGCUUUUGAGGUGGAGUCUGAACCCCUGAUGGGAAACUGCAGGCUGCCCGCGGUGCCACCAUGCUGGAGGUACAGCCCCGUGGUGGAGGCCGGCUCAGACAUGGUCUUCCGGUGGACCAUCAACGACAAGCCGUCCCUGACCUUCCAGAACGUGGUCUUCAACGUCAUUUAUCAGAGCGCGGCAGUCUUCAAGCUCUCACUGACGGCCUCCAACCACGUGAGCAACGUCACCGUGAACUACAACGUCACCGUGGAGCGGAUGAACAGGAUGCAGGGCCUGCGGGUCUCCACAGUGCCGGCCGUGCUGUGCCCCAAUGCCACGCUGGCACUGACGGCGGGCGUGCUGGUGGACUCGGCCGUGGAGGUGGCCUUCCUGUGGACAUUUGGGGAUGGGGAGCAGGCCCUCCACCAGUUCCAGCCUCCGUACAACAAGUCCUUCCCGGUUCCAGACCCCUCGGUGGCCCAGGUGCUGGUGGAGCACAACGUCACGCACACCUACGCUGCCCCAG
Molecule: small RNA, 791 nt
Filed under: Pongo abelii (Sumatran orangutan)
Lineage: Eukaryota; Metazoa; Chordata; Mammalia; Primates; Hominidae
Description: retained intron
Source: RNAcentral